RNAcentral lists this transfer RNA (74 nucleotides) under Perkinsus olseni. RNAcentral's name for it is "tRNA-Arg". It matches the Rfam family "tRNA". From Rfam's summary of the family: Transfer RNA (tRNA) molecules are approximately 80 nucleotides in length. Lineage: Eukaryota; Perkinsozoa; Perkinsida; Perkinsidae. The record is from RNAcentral.
GCUCUGGUGGCUGAAUCGGAUAGAGCGUUGGACUUCUAAUCCAAAGGUUGCGGGUUCAAGUCCCGCCCAGAGUA